This 1694-nucleotide long non-coding RNA is filed under the name Strigops habroptila (Kakapo). Its description in RNAcentral is "lncRNA (ENSSHBG00005009857.1)". Lineage: Eukaryota; Metazoa; Chordata; Aves; Psittaciformes; Psittacidae. The record is from RNAcentral.
CUAUUUCAGAAUAAUUUAUUUCUGUUUUUUUUCUGUCAUGAAGGAGAUUGUUAGAUCAAGAGAUUAUAAACACAUUACAAGGCAUAUGAUAGCUUUUUUAAAGUCCACAGAAAUAAUUAGUCUUGAGUCAUAACUUUCUUGUUCAAGGAAUGAUAAUUCUUGUGCAAUGAAGAUCUGUGUGUCUGUACUCUCUAAUGCUUUUUGCAGUUUGGUUCAGAUGGAUUACCAUUGCCACUUUGUCAUUUUUCUGUUCUUCACAGGUAUUUCCAGCUCUACCAAGCAUAACAAAUGAAUCAGGACUCAGAUAAACUAACAUAUGGCUUUUUUUUGUUUAUUUUAAGGGGGUUUUUUGGUCAGAAAAAAAAAUCUUGUGUGGACUUCUUAAGAAACUGCAACAGAAAACACAGCAUCACUGGUUCCUUUUUAUAUUUGUCAUUGAGAAGAGAACAUGUUAUAGCUGUGACCACAGGUGCAAGUGCAGUGUCAAUUCCAUUUCAUAAAUGUGAGCAUAUAUUUAUCUUUGAAAACCAUCUAUAGAAAGAGGUUAUUGUUGCUGCAUUGCUUCAGCCAAGACUUGGCAGAACUAAGCCAACCCCUGGCUUAGGGCUAGAAGAUCACAGACACCAAUAUGGAGGAUGACCAAAUAGCGUUUUAUUAAACAACAGCAGGCAUUAUAUGCCUUUCGGCCACACGGAAGUACCUAUGCUGACCCAAUCAGAAGGCAGGUUAACAAUUUUUACCUUUUAUGGUAUUGCUGAGCCUCGCCCCACAAUUCCCCUCUCCAUGCUAUGGGGCUUGUGAGAGUAUCCGGGGAGGGGCUCUCUCUUUCCGUACAUCGCGAUAUCUUCCGGCCGCCAGACCUUAACUACCUACAUUUCCCCCUCCCCAUGCACAAAUAAGGUGAUUAAGAUAAAACAAUCCUAAAAAUACAUAUCAUAAAACUUGGUGCAAACCUAGCAAAUGUGUGCUGUUUCUACGCUAUUUUUUACAAAAAUUUAGAAAUAUACAUCAUAAGUUUAGAUAGAAAAUAUAAGGCACGCUAAACAGGAUAACUGGGGGACAACUGAGAGUAGUGGUGUAUAACUAGGGAUAGCUAAAAGGAAUUUCAAACGGAAAUAGUCUUAGAGCAAUCGUUGAUGUGCUAUUAACAUAAUGCUAACACUCUCUGGUCGACUUUUAACAAAUGAAACGAGCUUGACAGCGUCCAAAAAUCACUGCUAUUACAAUCAUUGUGAUUGGUCCCAUUAGGUAGACAUCAGGGUGGUCAGCCAUGGUGAAUGGUUAAACCAUGACGUAAACCAACCUUGCUGUGCCUCUCGUUCCCUCUUUCGUUUUUCCAAACCUUUCCGCAAUUUAGCCAUAGUGUCUCUUACUAUUCCGGUGUGGUUUGCAUAUACACAACACUCUUCCUCUAGUGCAGCGCACACUCCCCCUUGCUGUAGAAGCAUCAGGUCUGAUCCUCUUACUUGUCAUCUUCAUUCGUCACUGAGACGUACGGGUUGCGAGGGCAUCCGACAAUCCAUACCUUAAUCGUUACAUCCAUGCUCGCGAGCUACACCUCUGCCCUCCGAACGAAUCACGUCGGGGUCACCACUUGUUGCUGCGUUGCUUCAGCCAAGACUUGCAGAACUAAGCCAGCCCCUGGCUUCGGGCUAGAAGACCACAGACACCAAUAUGGAGGAUGACCAAAUAGC